RNAcentral lists this ribosomal RNA (428 nucleotides) under Bacteroidota bacterium. Its description in RNAcentral is "Bacteroidetes bacterium partial 16S ribosomal RNA". It matches the Rfam family "Bacterial small subunit ribosomal RNA", at positions 355 to 776 of the family's 1533-position model. The record is from RNAcentral. Lineage: Bacteria; Pseudomonadati; Bacteroidota.
UAGGGAAUCUUCCGCAAUGGGCGAAAGCCUGACGGAGCAACGCCGCGUGAGUGAUGAAGGUCUUCGGAUCGUAAAACUCUGUUAUCAGGGAAGAACAAAUGUGUAAGUAACUGUGCACAUCUUGACGGUACCUGAUCAGAAAGCCACGGCUAACUACGUGCCAGCAGCCGCGGUAAUACGUAGGUGGCAAGCGUUAUCCGGAAUUAUUGGGCGUAAAGCGAGCGCAGGCGGUUAGAUAAGUCUGAAGUUAAAGGCAGUGGCUCAACCAUUGUAGGCUUUGGAAACUGUUUAACUUGAGUGCAGAAGGGGAGAGUGGAAUUCCAUGUGUAGCGGUGAAAUGCGUAGAUAUAUGGAGGAACACCGGUGGCGAAAGCGGCUCUCUGGUCUAUAACUGACGCUGAGGCUCGAAAGCGUGGGGAGCGAACAGG